RNAcentral lists this ribosomal RNA (411 nucleotides) under bacterium enrichment culture clone ALO1_GLFRUDD03GF6FC. RNAcentral describes it as "bacterial SSU rRNA". It matches the Rfam family "Bacterial small subunit ribosomal RNA", at positions 9 to 424 of the family's 1533-position model. The record is from RNAcentral.
GAGUUUGAUCUUGGCUCAGAUUGAACGCUGGCGGCAUGCCUUACACAUGCAAGUCGAACGGCAGCACGGGAGCUUGCUCCUGGUGGCGAGUGGCGAACGGGUGAGUAAUGCAUCGGAACGUAUCCUGGAGUGGGGGAUAACGUAGCGAAAGUUACGCUAAUACCGCAUAUUCUGUGAGCAGGAAAGCGGGGGACCUUCGGGCCUCGCGCUCUUGGAGCGGCCGAUGUCGGAUUAGCUAGUUGGUGAGGUAAAGGCUCACCAAGGCGACGAUCCGUAGCAGGUCUGAGAGGAUGAUCUGCCACACUGGAACUGAGACACGGUCCAGACUCCUACGGGAGGCAGCAGUGGGAAUUUUGGACAAUGGGGCAACCCUGAUCCAGCCAUGCCGCGUGAGGGAAGAAGGCCUCGGUU